GGUCGAUGUAAUCGACUUAAUCCAUUUGUCUGUCCUUGUUUGUCCCUUCUAUGUUUAGCCCCUUGUGGGUAAUAAAGAAACACAUAUGUAUAUAUAUAUAUAUAUAUAUAUCUUGUAGUAAGUGGAUAAUCAUAGGAUAUACUUACAUAUCAUUCCCUGUAUAAUAUACAUCAUAUUGUUUAUGAGGACCCAACUGUAUGUUGUAUAGACUCCUCACUCAUUGUAACAUAUAUAUCACCAUUUUGUUUUGAUAAUAAGGGCUUAACCAUAAAAUAUACACAUAGAUCGCUUACUGUAAUACUUAUUAUUAUAAUUAUUAUUUAUUAUACAUACAUAUUGUAAUCAGAAUACAAGGGAUUUAGAGUUCGAUCUAUCGGUUUUUAGUUUUUCUUAUUUAUUUAUUUUCUUCCAUUCUGUUUUAAAUUUUUAAAAAUGGAGGCGUUUCCAUGGAUCGAAAUCACUUGAAGAAAUCGAUUUGAAAUCAAAUUAAAACUGAAAUCAAAUUUCAAUAAAAGACAAUUUUCUUUUUUUUUUCUUCUAUUUAUUGAUUUAUUUUCCUUUCAAAUGACAUUAAAAUCACUUUUCUUUUCCUUGAUUACAAUUUAAUCAAGUUAAAAAAUCUUACACAGAAUUCUCUGAAACCGCAAAUAUGCACUUAGCUGCGUAUAUCAGCCACAAACUCACAUCAAUUACUCGUCAGCAUUUAUACACCAACUCUUCGAAUUCCUUUCUUAAUCUUAAUUUGAUCUCCACUACUUUUCUCUCUUACUCUCUCUUCCAUUCUCUUUCUCACUCUCUCUCUCUCUCCCUUCCUAUCUGUCUCUAACUCUCAUUAAUGAGUUCUUUUGAUCACCUCCCAUUACAGAAUAUUUAUUUAGUGGCAUUUAACAUUACGAAAAUAUUGAUUACAAAUAUUGGUCAUGAUAACAACUAUUACAGAAAUAACAACAACUGAAAAAAAAACCAAAUUUAUUAAUUAGAUUAUAAUAGUAAUAACGAAGACAAUGAUUAUGAUGACGAUGAUGAUGGUGACGAUGAUGAUGAUUGCUUCAUUUUUUAAAUAUUCGAGCGGAUUAUUGUUCUACUCCAAAAGACAUGUAAAUCUUUAUAGAACGAACAAUGAAAUAACUUUCAGAUAUUUUAUUAUAAACUGGAAAUAAUAAUAAUAAUAAUAAUAAUAAUAACAACAAUAAUAAUAAUAGUAAUAACAGCGAUCACGUGAUGAUAACAAUGUUGAGGACAACGAAAAUAAUGUUGAACUAACGAUACUAAUGAUUUAAUAAUGAACAUAAUAAAAAUAUAUUAAAUAUUGAACAAGAUGUGUUUUCAGAAAUCUCAUCUUAGUUCAACCUGUAAUUUUGUGUUCUUCUCUUACUUUAUUCAAAUAUACUCCCUGUCAGCAUUACACUCAUCCUUUUCACAAUUAAUACAAUAUGGAUUUCAAUCAUUUUUCUUACUGGAUUUGUUAUUCUGACUUCAUGUUUAUCGUAUCUGUUAGAGAGAUACAGACAAGCCUCUCGAGCUAAAUUAAACAGCAAAGGCAUUUUGAAAUCAUUUUAGAAAAGUUUCGAAAGUUUUAUUUCGCUGAAUAUUUUCAUGAGUAAAACUCACAAAAAAGCAAGGAAUUAUUAAUUCAUAGAGGUCUCCGAUAAAACCUUGUGAGUUCAUAGACUUAGAAAAUAUUUCGCGAUUUAGAACCAAAUACAUUCCUUAUAUAAAUUUUAAUAUAGCUCUAAAUAAAAAUUCACAUUUGUCUCUAUAUGCUUGGGCAUAUAUAUAUAUAUGUAGUGUUAGUUUGUAGAUAGAAUCAGUAAAAAUGCACUCGACUCAUCUAGGAAUAAAUAUCGUUUCAAUAAUACUAAGUUAUACAUGAGCUACUUCAAGUUUCAUGCUUCAUGGUGCACAAAUAGGACGGGCUUGUAAAGAGUUCACUGCACCAUUCGACAAUCGUUCUUGGUCAUGGCCGGAUCGAGUACGGGUACGUUAUACAUGCACGUCUGGUACCUGUAUUAUCCAAUCGUGAAAUUUGAAAUAACUCACCUUUCUGAACGAAAUACUCACAGCAUGCUGCAUGAUGAAAUAAAGCAUUCAGAUACGGAACCGGACGAAAGGAAAAUAUUUUUCAAGUCCUCUUAUAGUUUUGGAAACGCUGUUUUUAUGUUCCAACAGUUAAGAUUCGGUAAUGUUAAAGUUUAGUCUAGAGACAUGUGGGUCAUUUAUCACCUGAAUUGAAAUAUUUGAUAUUCUACAGAAA
RNAcentral lists this long non-coding RNA (2254 nucleotides) under Octopus sinensis (East Asian common octopus). RNAcentral describes it as "uncharacterized LOC118762919". Lineage: Eukaryota; Metazoa; Mollusca; Cephalopoda; Octopoda; Octopodidae. The record is from RNAcentral.